Molecule: ribosomal RNA, 477 nt
Filed under: uncultured bacterium
Lineage: Bacteria
Description: bacterial SSU rRNA
Rfam family: Bacterial small subunit ribosomal RNA
Source: RNAcentral
CUUAGCGGCGGACGGGUGAGUAACACGUGGGCAACCUGCCUUAUACAGGGGGAUAGCCACCCGAAAGGGUGAUUAAUACCGCAUAACACUGUGAUGUCGCAUGGCAUUACAGUCAAAGGAGCAAUCCGGUAUAAGAUGGGCCCGCGACCCAUUAGAUAGUUGGUGAGGUAACGGCUCACCAAGUCUACGAUGGGUAGCCGAUCUGAGAGGAUGACCGGCCACAUUGGAACUGAGACACGGUCCAGACUCCUACGGGAGGCAGCAGUGGGGAAUAUUGCGCAAUGGGGGAAACCCUGACGCAGCAACGCCGCGUGAGCGAUGAAGGCCUUCGGGUCGUAAAGCUCUGUCUUUUGGGACGAUAAUGACGGUACCAAAGGAGGAAGCCACGGCUAACUACGUGCCAGCAGCCGCGGUAAUACGUAGGUGGCGAGCGUUGUCCGGAAUUACUGGGCGUAAAGGGUGCGUAGGCGGACCUUU